Molecule: ribosomal RNA, 309 nt
Filed under: uncultured bacterium
Lineage: Bacteria
Description: partial 16S ribosomal RNA
Rfam family: Bacterial small subunit ribosomal RNA
Source: RNAcentral
AGAGACAGCAGUCGCCGCGGUAAUACGGAGGGUGCAAGCGUUAAUCGGAAUUACUGGGCGUAAAGCGCACGCAGGCGGUCUGACAAGUCAGAUGUGAAAUCCCCGGGCUUAACCUGGGAACUGCAUUUGAAACUGUCAGGCUGGAGUCUUGUAGAGGGGGGUGGAAUUCCAGGUGUAGCGGUGAAAUGCGUAGAGAUCUGGAGGAAUACCGGUGGCGAAGGCGGCCCCCUGGACAAAGACUGACGCUCAGGUGCGAAAGCGUGGGGAGCAAACAGGAUUAGAUACCCCUGUAGUCCCUGUCUCUUAUAC